GUUCGUACUCUAUCAAUAAUCAUUUGUCUUCCAGACAAAUCUUCAGCAUACCCAACAACCUGAGAGUCCGUCUGUGUUUCACUAAAGUGAUCAUACACAUUUGCAGUUGCAUCUCCUGAAUGAGUGUGGGUUUCAUCCUCUUUCUCAAACCUGUUUGUCCAGUGGUUAGACAAUCCAAGCGUAGCAUGAUUAUCUCCAUGACCUUGAGCAAGAUUGUUACAACCAGAUGUAAAAAGUUCUUUAUCACACUCGCUUCUCGAUGGAGACUUUUGAUCAUGGAUCUUGCUUGUUUGCUCCAAUAAGUCCUCUAUCGCAGCAGCUACAUCAGGA
Molecule: unclassified non-coding RNA, 330 nt
Filed under: Hevea brasiliensis (rubber tree)
Lineage: Eukaryota; Viridiplantae; Streptophyta; Magnoliopsida; Malpighiales; Euphorbiaceae
Source: RNAcentral